AAUAAAAAGCCCAACAAUAGUAACUAGAGAGGAAGGGAGAAGGGAAAAGUACGAACCCUAGUUAUGAUCUAACUAGUUCCGUCGAGAGAGAACCAAAGUUGUAAAAUAGCACUUGCCUUUGUGUUAUUCUCAGGUCUCAAGGCAGAGAUUUUGUUCUUGAUCAUGCUCUUAAACCUUUUCCAAAGUGAAUCUGUUGAUCUGUAUUUCCCUCGAUGCAGUCUUUCAUUUCUUUCCCACCACAGUUCGUAAAUUGUCGCUUGCCAAGAGAGGAGAGAUAGGUAUUUAUGAUGUCUUGAUCCAGAGAGGGACAGGAGAGAGUGAGUUACGUCAUUCCAGGAGUUCGAAGAGGAAGUGAUACGAAGCCUUGUAGCAAAGUGAUUCCUUGAAAAUGGGCAUUCAAAAUACAGGUGAUCCCUUGACUCAUUGGAGCUAUUACAGAGGAGGCAGAGAAUAUCGGUUUGCAAGCCCCAAGAGAUGAGUCGAUCACGAGUAGGGCUCCUGUUCAAUAGCAUUAGCCAAGCAAGAGAGCUGUGUUUUGGUAUACUUUUUUGAACCAGAUGAUAUGGUGCCAAGGAACUGUUGGCGUAUCCUCAAAGAAUGAGUGGUAGACAGUUGAAGGGGAGAAAGUAUGCUUAGGCGUGCCAUUGACAAUCCAUUCAGUGGUGCUCGGCUCGUCAGUAAGCGAUAUAGUGGUGAGGUGAAUCUGAACUUCCUCCAUCCGUUGAGAUCGAGCAUGACGCAGUGACCAGUCACCAUUGAUCCAGAGGUCAGCAACCAAGGUGGAAAGUGGAAUGCCCGUGAGACGGGGGGCCUUGAGCUCCGAUGAAGGUGAUGAGGCGACCAUACUGCGUCCAGGGAUCCAACCAAAACUUGACAUCGCUUCCAUUGCCAGGAGAGAUCCUAAUCCAUUUAAGCACUGUCUCGCGUUCCGCCAGAAUCCUUUUGAAAAUCCAGCAGGAGCCAGAGAAGCUUGAUCUGUUCCAGAGAGCAAGGUUUCGAAGGCCUAGCCCUCCAUUCUGUCUAGGAGUUGUGACUUUUUCCCAUGCGACCGGAGCUACAUAUUUGCCUUCCAGCGUACCUUUCCAUAAGAAUGCAUUGCACAUCUUAUCGAUGAGAUUGAUGCAUUCUUUAGGAAGAAUAAAGGCUCCACUCCAGAAGUUGGAGAGGUUCACAGUUGGCGAGGGAGAGCUUCCGAGUGUUCAGUGGCAAGCCUAGGUAUCGAAUGGGGAAGGAGCCAGCCGGGAUACCACUUGUCGAGACAAUAGUUUCGAUUUCAGGUUCAGUCAAGCCGCUAGAGAAGAAGCAAGAUUUCUCGACACUCACUGAGAGACCAGAGAACGCCUUGAACUCCUCGAGGACUUGGAGGAUCAUUUGGACAGAGUUGAGAGAGCCAUCAUUAAAGAUGAGGAUGUCAUCUGCAAAACAUAAGUGGAUAGAAUGUUCAUGACCAGGCCGAAGAGGUAAGGAGAGAGCGGAUCCCCCUGAUAUAAUCCUCUAGUCCCUUUGAAGAACCCGUGAAGCCUACCGUUGAUUCCCACUGAGAAGGAGGGCGAUGUGAAGCAACCAGUGAGCCAUUGGAUGUAGUCUGGGGGCAAGUUGAGGGAUUGGAGGCAGGCUAUAAGGAAGUCCCAUCUAACAGUAUCAAAUGCCUUGGCAAUAUCAAUCU
This is a long non-coding RNA of Brassica oleracea var. oleracea, 1666 nucleotides long. RefSeq lists it as uncharacterized. The transcript is spliced from 4 exons. NCBI's taxonomy places the organism in Eukaryota, Viridiplantae, Streptophyta, Magnoliopsida, Brassicales, Brassicaceae. The record is from RefSeq and is a predicted model, not a curated record.